RNAcentral lists this ribosomal RNA (864 nucleotides) under uncultured bacterium. RNAcentral's name for it is "bacterial SSU rRNA". It matches the Rfam family "Bacterial small subunit ribosomal RNA", at positions 62 to 946 of the family's 1533-position model. The record is from RNAcentral.
UCGAACGAGGUCCAUGGAGCUUGCUCCGGAAGACCUAGUGGCGAACGGGUGCGUAACACGUGAGAAAUCUGCCCCGGACUCUGGAAUAACAGCUGGAAACGACUGCUAAUACCGGAUGCCUUCAUUUGGCCGCAUGGUCGUUUGAAGAAAGAUUUAUCGGUUUGGGAGGAUCUCGCGGCCUAUCAGCUUGUUGGUGAGGUAACGGCUCACCAAGGCAUCGACGGGUAGCUGGUCUGAGAGGAUGAUCAGCCACACUGGAACUGAGACACGGUCCAGACUCCUACGGGAGGCAGCAGUGGGGAAUCUUGCACAAUGGGCGAAAGCCUGAUGCAGCGAUGCCGCGUGCGGGAAGAAGGCCCUAGGGUUGUAAACCGCUUUCAGGAGGGAAGAAAAUGACGGUACCUCCGGAAGAAGGUGCGGCCAACUACGUGCCAGCAGCCGCGGUGACACGUAGGCACCAAGCGUUAUCCGGAUUUGUUGGGCGUAAAGAGCUCGUAGGCGGUUUGGUAAGUCGGGUGUGAAAACUCUGGGCUCAACCCAGAGAGGCCACUCGAUACUGCUAUGACUAGAGUACGGUAGGGGAGCGGGGAAUUCCUGGUGUAGCGGUGAAAUGCGCAGAUAUCAGGAGGAACACCAGCGGCGAAGGCGCCGCUCUGGGCCGUAACUGACGCUGAGAGCGAAAGCAUAGGUAGCAAACAGAUUAGAUACCCUGGUAUCCAUGCCGUAAACGUUGGCACUAGUGUGGGUCUCAACCAACGAGAUCCGCGCCGUCGCUACGCAUUAAGUGCCCGCCUGGGAGUACGGUCGCAAGACUAAAACUCAAAGGAAUUGACGGGGCCCGCACAAGCAGCGGAGCGUGUGGUU